UGUCCAACUUGGCUGCUUGGGCGCCUUCAAAGCCUGCAGGAGAUGUUCUGCUUUUUAAAAUCUAUUUUACUUUGUAAUAUGCUCCCUUUCAAGCGAGCCAGGCGUUUAAGCAUGCAUUCAAUCAGUUCUGAAAUUUCAGCAGGAUCUCCUGAUCUUUCCGACUUAAAUCAACCUGUGCAACCAAGCGAUUCCCAACCUUAAAAACCAACUUUGAAGAAGGCUUUGGAAAAAGGGCAGAGAAGAGCAAAUAGGCCUGGAGACUAAAAGAUAAGAAGAACGGUUGCAGGACUUGGGGAAUCCUCGGGGCAAAACAAGGAAGAAAACUUGGCCUGAGAAAGAGAAGAGCUUGUUGUCUAUCAUCCCUUCGCCACCGGCGGCUUUGGCUGUACCAAAACAACGGCAAUUGGGGAUGCUAGCCUGGCCCAGCAAGACCUGGAUUCCAGUCCAACUCCAGUUCUGCAAACUCACCAACUUUGAACUACUCUUUUGAGGACCAAAGAGAGGCGGGAGCACCAGGUACUCCAUCUUUUAAGUUUAGAAUGAAAGGAGGAAGGGCUUAAAUGUUAUUUUCAGCCCCCAGUGACAAGAAGAGCAGGAUUUCCACUCUGACCUCCCUUUCCCAUCAACCCUCUCCUCGCAGGGAGGAAUCCCAGGGUUGAAAGGACCUCAAAGGUCUUCUAGCCCACCCCUUGCUCAGACAGGGACGCACUGGACCAUCCCAGCCAAAGAGCUUCCAGCCUUUGCUCACACUUCCCCCCAAUCUCUUUGGGGUGGGGGGCAGUGCAGAAGACCUACAGAUUGACCCCAGAGGCUGGAUUCAUACAACAUGCCAUGCCCAGAAGGCGCUUGAGGAGUGGGGGGGAAGGGGGCUCAGUUGCCCUGGGUGAAUGCAACAGCCAGAGCCAGGACAGAUACUGGGGGCCACUCCUCCUUCUUGGGGGGGAGGCUUUCUAGCAAAACGGGGAGCGUCCUCCCCCCCACGGGCUUGCCCAGCCUCUGCUCUUCGCAGGAGAGUUUGAGAAAGCCAAGAGGGGCCGGGACGUCUCGCCGGGCUGGCUCCCCCCUGGCCCGGCCCUGCUCCGCUCCCGAGGCAGUCGGGGGUCCUAGUGGGCCGGGACAAAGCGGGGAGGGGGAUCUUCGGGGCCUCCCCCCUUGCUCGCCCCCCCAUCCCCGCCGGAGAGCCCCACCACCCCAGCCCUUCCCUUCCCUCCUCUGGUGCGCCCCGAGGCUGCCUCUUCGCGCAGGGAUCGGGCCCGGAGUGGAGGAGGAGGAGGAAGAGGAAGGAGGAAGAGGAGGAGGAAAAGGAGGAAGGAGAAAGAGGAAGAGAAGGAGGAAAAGAAGGAGGAAGAGGAGG
Molecule: long non-coding RNA, 1354 nt
Organism: Crotalus tigris (Tiger rattlesnake)
Lineage: Eukaryota; Metazoa; Chordata; Lepidosauria; Squamata; Viperidae
Exons: 3
Source: RefSeq, a predicted model, not a curated record